UCGGACUGGAUUUGUUGACAA
This 21-nucleotide microRNA is filed under the name Gossypium raimondii (Peruvian cotton). RNAcentral's name for it is "gra-miR3476". Lineage: Eukaryota; Viridiplantae; Streptophyta; Magnoliopsida; Malvales; Malvaceae. The record is from miRBase by way of RNAcentral.